GACGAACGCUGGCGGCGUGCCUAAUACAUGCAAGUUGAGCGCUGAAGGUUGGUACUUGUACCAACUGGAUGAGCAGCGAACGGGUGAGUAACGCGUGGGGAAUCUGCCUUUGAGCGGGGGACAACAUUUGGAAACGAAUGCUAAUACCGCAUAACAACUUUAAACACAAGUUUUAAGUUUGAAAGAUGCAAUUGCAUCACUCAAAGAUGAUCCCGCGUUGUAUUAGCUAGUUGGUGAGGUAAAGGCUCACCAAGGCGAUGAUACAUAGCCGACCUGAGAGGGUGAUCGGCCACAUUGAGACUGAGACACGGCUCAAACUCCGACGGGAGGCAGCAGUAGGGAAUCUUCGGCAAUGGACGAAAGUCUGACCGAGCAACGCCGCGUGAGUGGAGAAGGUUUUCGGAUCGUAAAACUCUGUUGGUAGAGAAGAGCGUUGGUGAGAGUGGAAAGCUCAUCAAGUGACGGUAACUACCCAGAAAGGGACGGCUAACUACGUG
This 497-nucleotide ribosomal RNA is filed under the name uncultured bacterium. RNAcentral describes it as "partial 16S ribosomal RNA". It matches the Rfam family "Bacterial small subunit ribosomal RNA", at positions 28 to 507 of the family's 1533-position model. The record is from RNAcentral.